Long non-coding RNA from Lagopus muta (rock ptarmigan), 403 nucleotides. RefSeq lists it as uncharacterized. The record is from RefSeq and is a predicted model, not a curated record. The transcript has 4 exons. Lineage: Eukaryota; Metazoa; Chordata; Aves; Galliformes; Phasianidae.
GCCGCCGCACCGCCCACCCUUCGGCCCCGUCAGCUUCAAGCGCGGAGCCGGCACUGCGGCUGCGCUCCGCCCACGGCCGCCCGUUCUGGGCACGCGCGGGCGAGACGCGCACGCGCCGUAGGCAGGGGCAGGUGACGGGGCAGCGGUAGGAGCGCGCCGCGAUGGUGUACAUAUCUAACGCUCCACGCGCUGCUCCGUGCUCGGCAUGUGUUCUUGUGCGCGCUUGUGCCCGUAUGCAGCGUCUAAUGCUCCGCUCCAACUGUUCCGAGAACCGCGUGCUCGUACUUAGGACAAGUUUUGGAUAACCGGAGCCGGGCUCCUUGGAGCUUCUCAUCCAUAACAGAUUUCUUCUGGUCGAUAGCAGACUUUGUAGUUAUGUUCUUCCAGAGCAUUAUUCAACCAG